Molecule: long non-coding RNA, 1846 nt
Organism: Astatotilapia calliptera (eastern happy)
Lineage: Eukaryota; Metazoa; Chordata; Actinopteri; Cichliformes; Cichlidae
Source: Ensembl
GCGGUGUUUGUGAUUUGAGUGUAAAAUCCUCCUUUGGGUGAAGUAGUGGGCUGCUAAUCACAGGAUGUGGUUAAUCCCUUGGCUGUGGAGCUUUUCACCAGCUGAGAGCAGCGAGGUUAUGGACAAGCUGAAGCCCCCUCGAGAUGGAGGUGUGAAGCAAAUCCAGGCAAAUCACUGAGCCUCGAAAUGAGCCAUACAGAGACAAAAUAGAAGAGCUAUACUGCCCCCCCCCCCCCCCCUUUUUUUUAAUUUUUUUAUUUGCGCGUGUGUGAAAGGAAAGUCUUCAUAAAGCUGUUUUUAAUACUGUGCAGAGGGACAGGUCAAUUUAAUGAGGUGAUGUGAAGCCUGGAAAUGAAUAGUGUUGUGAUAUCCUGCAGCACAGCAAAUAGAGGCACUGGGAGCCAUUGAGCUCCGGAGCCUGAGGCACAGGACUGCAGAGCAAACAGGCAGUGUUAGUUCACUAAAUGAUGCGGAAUGGAUGCCGGAUAAUCACCACACUGCUCAUAAAUUCUCCUUUAAAGGCACCUCGUAGAGCAGCCUGAGUGCAUCUUCUUUAUAUAGCUUUACUUUAGGUCACAUGAUCCAAGCAUAUGACAGCGACGAUGCCGUAAUAAUCGGGAUUAAAGUGAAUCUAAUGAACAGAUAUAGCACGUCAACGCGCAGCGCUCAUCCCGAUUAUGUGUUCUCGUGUUGAACAUUUCUGCGGAGCAGCCCCCGGGGUUACGGAGGAACAGUGCACGGCUUAGUCGAGCCCUCCUCCCUCCUUUCCUCCCUGCACGCCCUCCACUCCUGUGGCUGGCUGCAGAUUUAAUGGGCUUAGCAGCUGUUGAGGAAAAGCAGUGAGGGCUUGUGGCAUAUGCUCUGGUUAGAACAAAGAGCAGCGAGCUCGCCACAUGAGCUGCAACUGCCUGAGCUGAACGCGGCGCUGGCACAGGGGCUGCACUCGACCAUUAAACCGUUUUACAGCUUGUGCUCGUUCAGUUUAUUUGAUUGACGUUUUUGUUUUUGUUUAGUUAAAGCACUACUGUGAAUAUUUUGAUCAUUUCCCUCCCAUAUGACAAAAAGAGCUGAUUUUGUUUUUAGAUUUUUUCCUUUUUUUUUUUAGGUGUUUGUACGCGAGGCAGCGGUUAACCUUCUCUUUGCAGUGGGUGUGUAAGCCUGUUAAUUCAUGAAACAAGAGCAGAGCAUGGUGUAUUUCAAAGGUUCUUUAAAAGGCACUUGACAAGGCCGCCCUCUUCAGGGAGCGCUGUAACCCGUCCAGCACAUCUGCUUUCAAUGUGCAUCAUGAUGUCAUUCGGAGGGAAGGCGGUGCAGAGAGUCCUCUACUGGAAAUGCACAUGUAUGCCUCUGUGUGGAAAAGUUUUUCUCUUAUUUAAAGUGUGGCUUUCUCCAGAUGGCAUGUGCACCAAUUAAUGAAAAAUUAUUAAAGUUUCACUCUGAUUUUCUUCUUUUUAAAGCAGGAAAAGUCAUUAUUUUUCCUUUUUCAGGCAGAUGAACACUGAGCUGAUUUUCUGCUCGGAGUCUUUUUUUUCCAUUUGAUCUGGCAACAUGCUCUACUGCUGGCCGCAAAUAUGGUCAGAUUAUUAGCUGUAAACUAAUUAAUUCUGGCAAACAUGUGAUCCUCAACACUCACACACUGAUUCUGUUGAGUGUUGAGCUGCAAAAAAAGGGGGAGAAACCAACUGCCUUGUAUCUGUAUUCAGAUUCAAAUACAGCAUGCUCUGCACAUGCAGAUGGCAUGAAGUGGCUUCUCUUCACACACACACACACACACACACACACACACACACACACACACACACACACACACACACACACACACACCCUGCCCAUGCAGUGUGAUUAC